GACAGAGGAUGCAAGCGUUAUCCGGAAUGAUUGGGCGUAAAGCGUCUGUAGGCGGCUUUUCAAGUCCGCCGUCAAAUCCCAGGGCUCAACCCUGGACAGGCGGUGGAAACUACCAAGCUGGAGUAUGGUAGGGGCAGAGGGAAUUUCCGGUGGAGCGGUGAAAUGCAUUGAGAUCGGAAAGAACACCAGCGGCGAAAGCACUCUGCUGGGCCGACACUGACACUGAGAGACGAAAGCUAGGGGAGCAAAUGGG
Molecule: ribosomal RNA, 253 nt
Filed under: uncultured bacterium
Lineage: Bacteria
Description: partial 16S ribosomal RNA
Rfam family: Bacterial small subunit ribosomal RNA
Source: RNAcentral